This 432-nucleotide ribosomal RNA is filed under the name uncultured bacterium. Its description in RNAcentral is "bacterial SSU rRNA". It matches the Rfam family "Bacterial small subunit ribosomal RNA", at positions 8 to 442 of the family's 1533-position model. The record is from RNAcentral.
AGAGUUUGAUCCUGGCUCAGGACGAACGCUGGCGGCGUGCUUAACACAUGCAAGUCGAACGGAAAGGCCUCUUCGGAGGUACUCGAGUGGCGAACGGGUGAGUAACACGUGGGUAAUCUGCCCUGCACUUCGGGAUAAGCCUGGGAAACUGGGUCUAAUACCGAAUAUGACCACGAGACGCAUGUCUUGUGGUGGAAAGCUUUUGCGGUGUGGGAUGGGCCCGCGGCCUAUCAGCUUGUUGGUGGGGUGAUGGCCUACCAAGGCGACGACGGGUAGCCGGCCUGAGAGGGUGUCCGGCCACACUGGGACUGAGAUACGGCCCAGACUCCUACGGGAGGCAGCAGUGGGGAAUAUUGCACAAUGGGCGCAAGCCUGAUGCAGCGACGCCGCGUGGGGGAUGACGGCCUUCGGGUUGUAAACCUCUUCAGCAGG